CUACGGGAGGCACCAGUAGGGAAUCUUAGACAAUGGGGGAAACCCUGAUCUAGCCAUGCCGCGUGAGUGAUGAAGGCCUAGGGUUGUAAAGCUCUUUCGCUGGGGAAGAUAAUGACGGUACCCAGUAAAGAAACCCCGGCUGACUCCGUGCCAGCAGCCGCGGUAAUACGGAGGGGGUUAGCGUUGUUCGGAAUUACUGGGCGUAAAGCGCGCGUAGGCGGGCUAUUAAGUCAGGGGUGAAAUCCCGGGGCUCAACCCGGAACUGCCUUUGAUACUGGUAGUCUUGAGUUCGAGAGAGGUGAGUGGAAUUCCGAGUGUAGAGGUGAAAUUCGUAGAUAUUCGGAGGAACAUCAGUGGCGAAGGCGACUCACUGGCUCGAUACUGACGCUGAGGUGCGAAAGUGUGGGGAGCAAACAGGAUUAGAUACCCGUGUAGUC
This 437-nucleotide ribosomal RNA is filed under the name uncultured bacterium. Its description in RNAcentral is "partial 16S ribosomal RNA". It matches the Rfam family "Bacterial small subunit ribosomal RNA", at positions 339 to 795 of the family's 1533-position model. The record is from RNAcentral.